This 1466-nucleotide long non-coding RNA is filed under the name Salmo trutta (river trout). RNAcentral's name for it is "lncRNA (ENSSTUG00000000374.1)". Lineage: Eukaryota; Metazoa; Chordata; Actinopteri; Salmoniformes; Salmonidae. The record is from RNAcentral.
CUGGACCUUGGCACCAGGCUGGGGAAUACCGUCGCCCACCGGAGGAGAUCGAGGAAGCGAAGGCUGAGAGGCGGCGAUAUGAGGCCAUGAACGCGCUGAUGGAAAAGUACGAGAGGCACCCCCAAUAAAUAUUUUUUGGGGGGGGGCACACGGGUAGAUUGGCUAGGCCAAGGAAAAGCCAUAAGCCAGCUACCCGUGCUUACAUGGAGAGACGUAUGGAGUGGAGGGCGCCGAAAUUUGGAGAAGUGCGCACGAUCUCGCCCAUACGCUCGCACAGUCCCGUGCGAGCUAUUCCAGCCCCUCGUAGAUGCCGUGCUAGAGUGGGCAUCCAGCCUGGUAGGAGGAUGCCUGCGCAGCGCGUCUGGUCGCCGGUACGCCUCCUAGGACCAGGCUACCCUACGCCCGCUCUACGCACGGUAACUAUCAAGCCCUUGCACAGCCCAGUUCUCCCUGUACUAGCACCCCGCUCGUACAGGGCUGCUAGUUCCACCCAGCCAGGACGGGUUGUGCAGGAGGUGCGAGCAAGACCACCUGUGCGCCUCCAUGGCCCGGUCUUUCCAGUUCCCGCCUCUCGUGCUGACCCGGAAGUGCGUACCUCCAGUCUGGCACGACCAGUACCAGCACCAUGGAUCAAGCUUCCCAUGGGUCAGCCUAGUCCUAGUCAGCCUGUUCCCGCUCCUCGCACUAGCCAUGGGGUGUGCGGUUUAAAACGGGCAGUUCCAGUACCAGCACCACGUAUUAGGCCUAUAGUGCAUAAGAGUAAUUCCUCUCGGCCGGUUCCUGCUUCCCGCACUAGCCCUAGGGUGCGUGUCUUCAGCCUGGUACCUCCUCUACCAGCCCCACGCACCAGGCUUCCAGUGCGUCAGCCCAGCCUCGAGAGUUCGGAGACUGUUCCCCGUCCAGAGGAUCCGGCACCAGGGUGCAGUCCAGAGUAUCCGGCACCAGGGUGCAGUCCAGAGUAUCCGGCACCAGGGUGCAGUCCAGAGUAUCCGGCACCAGUGUCUAGUCCGGAACCAAGGGAGACUGCCUGUGACCCGGAACCGGGGGAGUCUGCCUGUGACCCGGAACCGGGGGAGUCUGCCUGUGACCCGGUACCAAGGGAGUCUAUCAGCGACCCGGAACUGAGUAAGUCUGUUGACGAUCCGGAACUAAAUGUGAUUAACUGUGUACAAAAUGAGUCUGCCUACAGUGUGGAAUGGAAUGGGUCUGCCUACGAUCCGGAAUGAUGGGAGUCUGCCUACGGCCCGGAACUGAGCAAGUCUGUCUGCAGUCUGGAGGGCAGUAGGCCUGAGCCGGAACCACCUCCAGUUUAGGUGGGUUGGGGGGGGUGGGGGUGUAGCACAGGUGCCGUCGUAGACGGCUGCCACCCUCCCUUUAGUUUAGGGGUUUAUUUUUUUUUGUUGGGUUGUCUUUGUUUAGGUGCAUUUGGUGUAUGCACCUUUAGGGGGGGGUAAUGUCACGUCCUG